This 251-nucleotide ribosomal RNA is filed under the name uncultured Actinomycetales bacterium. RNAcentral describes it as "partial 16S ribosomal RNA". It matches the Rfam family "Bacterial small subunit ribosomal RNA", at positions 84 to 334 of the family's 1533-position model. Lineage: Bacteria; Bacillati; Actinomycetota; Actinomycetes; Actinomycetales. The record is from RNAcentral.
GGGGUGCUCGAGUGGCGAACGGGUGAGUAACACGUGAGUAACCUGCCCUUGACUUUGGGAUAACUUCAGGAAACUGGGGCUAAUACCGGAUAGGAGCUCCUGCUGCAUGGUGGGGGUUGGAAAGUUUCGGCGGUUGGGGAUGGACUCGCGGCUUAUCAGCUUGUUGGUGGGGUAGUGGCUUACCAAGGCUUUGACGGGUAGCCGGCCUCGAGACGGGUGACCGGCCACAUUGGGACUGAGAUACGGCCCAG